CCUACGGUGGGCAGCAGUGAGGAAUAUUGGUCAAUGGGCGCGAGCCUGAACCAGCCAAGCCGCGUGAGGGAAGACGGUCCUAUGGAUUGUAAACCUCUUUUGUCGGGGAACAAAGGCGGAGACGCGUCUCCGGAUGAGUGUACCCGAAGAAAAAGCAUCGGCUAACUCCGUGCCAGCAGCCGCGGUAAUACGGAGGAUGCGAGCGUUAUCCGGAUUUAUUGGGUUUAAAGGGUGCGCAGGCGGGAGGUUAAGUCAGCGGUAAAAUGUCGGGGCUCAACCCCGGCCGGCCGUUGAAACUGGUUUUCUAGAGUUGGAGAGAGGUAUGCGGAAUUCGUGGUGUAGCGGUGAAAUGCAUAGAUAUCACGAAGAACUCCGAUUGCGAAGGCAGCAUACCGGCUCCAUACUGACGCUGAGGUACGAAAGCGUGGGGAUCGAACAGGAUUAGAUACCCUGGUAGUC
RNAcentral lists this ribosomal RNA (459 nucleotides) under uncultured bacterium. Its description in RNAcentral is "partial 16S ribosomal RNA". It matches the Rfam family "Bacterial small subunit ribosomal RNA", at positions 338 to 795 of the family's 1533-position model. The record is from RNAcentral.